This 72-nucleotide transfer RNA is filed under the name Bos taurus (domestic cattle). It matches the Rfam family "tRNA". Rfam says of the family: Transfer RNA (tRNA) molecules are approximately 80 nucleotides in length. Lineage: Eukaryota; Metazoa; Chordata; Mammalia; Artiodactyla; Bovidae. The record is from Rfam by way of RNAcentral. RNAcentral also lists the same sequence under 4 other names.
UCCCUGUUGGCUCAGUGGUAAAGAAUCUGCCUGCCAAUGCAGGAGACACAGGUUCAAUCCCUGGUCAGGGAA